AGAGUUUGAUCCUGGCUCAGCCUGAACGCUGGCGGCGUGGCUAAGACAUGCAAGUCGUACGGGCGCAGCAAUGCGUCAGUGGCGGACGGGUGAGUAAAGAAUCGCUAACGUGCCCCGAUCUUUGGGAUAGCCGGCCGAAAGGCCGGGUAAUACCAGAUGACGUGACCCUGUCGCCUGACGGGGUCCCCAAAGGGAAACCGGUCCGGGAGCGGGCGAUUUCGUAUCAGCUAGUUGGCGGGGUAACGGCCCACCAAGGCGACGACGCGUAGCUGGUCUGAGAGGACGGCCAGCCACAUUGGGACUGAGACACUGCCCAGACUCCUACGGGGGGCUGCAGUAACGAAUCUUCCGCAAUGCACGCAAGUGUGACGGAGCGACGCCGCGUGGAGGUUAAGUCCUUCGGGAUGUAAACUCCUGUCAGGGGCCACCAAGUUCUGAGGGGCCCCAGAGGAAGGCACGGCUAACUCUGUGCCAGCAGCCGCGGUAAUACAGAGGUGCCGAGCGUUAGGCGGAAUCACUGGGCUUAAAGCGUGCGUAGGCGGGUGCCUAAGUGUCUUGUGAAAUCCCGCGGCUCAACCGCGGAACGGCUGGGCAUACUGGGCACCUUGAGGCACACAGGGGCGAGCGGAACAAGUGGUGGAGCGGUGAAAUGCGUAGAUAUCACUUGGAACGCCGACGGUGAAAACAGCUCGCUGGGUGUGUUCUGACGCUGAGGCACGAAAGCCAGGGGAGCGAACGGGAUUAGAUACCCCGGUAGUCCUGGCCCUAAACGAUGUCCACUGGGUCGCGGCGGCUCUGACGCCGUCGCGGCCGGAGCAAAAGUGUUAAGUGGACCGCCUGGGAAGUACGGUCGCAAGGCUAAAACUCAAAGGAAUUGACGGGGGCUCACACAAGCGGUGGAGCAUG
Molecule: ribosomal RNA, 906 nt
Filed under: metagenome
Description: bacterial SSU rRNA
Rfam family: Bacterial small subunit ribosomal RNA
Source: RNAcentral